Spinacia oleracea (spinach) is the source of this 520-nucleotide long non-coding RNA. RefSeq lists it as uncharacterized. The record is from RefSeq and is a predicted model, not a curated record. The transcript is spliced from 3 exons. NCBI's taxonomy places the organism in Eukaryota, Viridiplantae, Streptophyta, Magnoliopsida, Caryophyllales, Amaranthaceae.
AAAAGUCAAUUGCCGAGAUUGGUUCCCAUCUACUUUCGGCUUCACCGAAAUACCAUCAAACAACUUCCGAAACCACCGCGAAAAACAUCGUCUCAUAGUUUGCAGUACCCUCUUCGCAUCCGGUUUGUAAAUUCUGAAAACCGUCAGUAAACGGAGAGUAGGUAGAUCGUGAGGAUACCCACUAGUGUUCUUGUUCGUGUGCGUAAUUUGUGAGGCUUGCUUAUCAAGGUAUGCGUGGCACGUCCUGAGCGACCGUUUCACAACAACUAGUAGCAAGUUAUUAAUAACGUAAAUCACCUAAAGACAAUCAGUUGGGUUUUAUUUAAUUCAGUUUGUAACUAUAUUUUGGGUAGUUGGUUUAAGUUAUUUAAUUAUGACAAUGUUGGUUUAUUUAUAAAGGUUGGAUUAUUGAUGGAUAAUAUAGCCUUACAUUUGGGUUGUAACCUAAAUGUGGCGGUAAUACCCUUAAUUUAUUAUUUUAUGCUUCCGCUAUAAGACCUAAACAGGUAUGGAAAUUGGG